UUGAAAAGUGAUGACUAAGUCCUCUAGAAAACAAAACACGGCCUAAACAAAAUACGUCACUUCAUUUGGCUAUGGUUUUUAACCUAUUCCUUAUCGAAAUGUCAAGCAUAGAAUUUACAAGCAGGCCUGAACAAGGAGGAGUCCUUGGAGGGUGAGCCCAGUCAUAAAUGCACGGUUAUUGUGGCAGGAACAAACCUCCCUCCCGUCCCCUAUUUGACACCAGAUUUCUGCAGUGGUCGUUGCUUUUGGACAUGCGUAAUUAGGUUUGUUGUUGCCACUAAAUAUGCGUGUCAAGUUUCAAAAGGGGCCAGCCAAAGGAUGAGGAGGAUAUCUCUGUGUGUUCGCUGCCCUGACCUGCCCCGGCUGGAAUUGUUAAUGUGCUGGACACAACAUAGCUGGCAACAGGCAGGGGGCAGGGGGUGGUGCAGCAGUUGCAGCAUUUGAUGUCUACGUAAAUCAGAAUGAAACCUCAUUUCCGUUGCAGAUAUUCGCACCCAGUCCAGACUAAUUUCGGGGUUUGUUUAAAUAAUCAUGGCCUUUCAUCGAUACAGGGAAGUCUCCAUUUUGACAGCCCAUUUGAAGUGGUUACGCACCCUUGCAAGCUCAUAAAUUAACCACAGCCUUUAAUUAGUUUACUUUAUUAGUUCAAUCUCAUUGAAAACAUUCUCGGCAUUAUAUGUUGCAAAAAUAUUUACAUUUCGUUGGCAAAACACAUUUCUCCCUGCCUCGACUUUGUUUUUCAGAAAUUAAUUCUAUAAACAUGAACUCCAUACCGUGAAGGGGAAAAAGUAAAAAAAAAUGCAAGAUUUUUCACAUUUAUUCUAACAAUUUGAAAAACUGGCACGUCUGACAGCAGCAGGGAAAAAAAUUGCUGGAAAUUAACUCGAAAAAUAUAAGCAAGCCGCCACGGCCCGGAAAAUUCCCUUAAUUUAUGCAAUGGAAUGUCAAAAAAGCCCAGCGAUCCGAGCCAAUUAUUGUGUGGGGAAGUGUCGCAGUCGAUUUGGAAGUGGCAUGGGCCAUUUAUAAAUGAUAUCCACUGACAGAGUAAAUGCAAAAAUAAUAAAUGCUUUUCGGAGCAGAAACAAAAAAGAGUGCAUGUAGAUAUGAAUACUAUUAAAAUUCAAUUACAGUAUAAAUCAUGGCGUAUAAUGAAGCAGCUCUUGUUCUUAAUUUCUACAGGAAUGAAUAUUAUUCUGUCGUAUUCUGUAGCUCCAAUUAGGAGUUAGAUAGCUUGA
Long non-coding RNA from Drosophila ananassae, 1235 nucleotides. RefSeq lists it as uncharacterized. The record is from RefSeq and is a predicted model, not a curated record. The transcript is spliced from 3 exons. Lineage: Eukaryota; Metazoa; Arthropoda; Insecta; Diptera; Drosophilidae.